This 2712-nucleotide ribosomal RNA is filed under the name Triticum aestivum (bread wheat). RNAcentral describes it as "partial small subunit ribosomal RNA". Lineage: Eukaryota; Viridiplantae; Streptophyta; Magnoliopsida; Poales; Poaceae. The record is from RNAcentral.
AUGGAUGGAUACGAGUUCCAGAGGGUGGAGCUAGAUGCACUGGAACGCGUCGUACGCGAUGAAAGUGCGGAGCCAAUGAGAUUGACGUUGCCGCUUCUCAGGCACAUAACCAAAGAUUUCUCCGCUGAAUUUGAAAUUGGCAAAGAUGAUUCUGCAGUGGUUUACCUGGGGGUGCUUCCAAGUGGGUUCUGUAUUGCUGUCAAAAAGUUUCACUUUCGUGAUUGCUUGGAUAAUGAAGAUGCAUUUGGAAAUGAAGUUAAUAGGGCAAUGAAGGGUGAUCACAGGAACAAAGUGCGACUCAUAGGUUAUUGUGGUCACAUGCAACAGCAGAUUUUCCAAUACGAAGGAAAACAAGUUUUUGCAGAGGUCAUAGAAAGGUUGAUCUGUACGGAGUAUGUGCCUAACGGAACCCUUUCUGGACAUAUUGAAGGUAAAAUUUAUACAGAAAUGGAUGGAUACGAGUUCCAGAGGGCGGAGCUAGAUGCACUAGAACACGUUGUACGCGAUGAAAGUGCAGGGCCAAUGAGUAUGAUGUUGCCGCUUCUCAGGCACAUAACAAAUGAUUUCUCCUGUGAAUCUGAAAUUGGCCGAGGUGGAUUUGCAGCGGUUUACCUGGGGGUGCUUUCAAGUGGGUUACGUAUUGCUGUCAAGAGGAUUUCCAAUAGCCAUACAGCUAAGGAGCGUUCAUUUCAACGUGAAAUUGAGACCACGAUGAAGGCUGCUCACAAAAACACAGUGCGACUCAUCGGGUACUGUUGUGACACACAGCAAAUAUAUUUCAAAAACGGCGAAGAAUAUAUUUUCGCAGAGAUUAGAGAAAGGUUGAUCUGUGUAGAGUAUGGACCUAAUGGAACCCUCGAAGCGCAUAUCUCUGAUGAGUUUCAUGGAGGACUUGACUGGAACCAGCGUUAUCAAAUUCUGAAAGGAAUUUGUCGGGGCCUGUUUCAUCUCCAUCACAAAGUGCAUAUCUUUCACGGAGAUAUCAAACCAGACAAUAUAUUAAUAGGGGAUAACCUCGUGCCCAAAAUUUAUGACUUCGGUUUGUCACGGUUCUUUGAUGAAGGAGAACCUUCAGGUUAUGAUGAAGAUGCCCACGGAACUCUAGGAUAUAUGCCACUGGAGAUGCUUCGGGAAGGUCUUUGGUCAACUAAGUCUGACAUAUACGCCUUGGGUGUUGUGAUCACGGAGUUGUUGACUAGGGAGAGAGGGUCGCACUGGGGUCAGAAAUUUGUACAGGUACUGAAACAGUUGAGGAAAAGGCUGGUAAAAGAAGGAGCGUUUCUAUCAUGGGAAAACAGAUACCAUCAAGUUAGAACAUGUCUGGAGAUUGCACAUACCUGUAUGGAAAUGAAUCGAGAUAAAAGGCCUACUGCAUUGGAGAUUAUCCAAAGGCUUGAUGAAACCGAAAGUGUGAACUAUUCUGCACUACCACUUUGGCAGGUGCAGUCAGGAAAUGAGGAAUCCGAUUCAUCGGACACAGAAGCUUUGGAUACAGAGACAACAACCGAGUUUUUUCCAAGUGACGAGGAACCCGCCUCAGCAGACACGACUGGAGAAACAAGCACACAGGAAGCAGAGCUGGUAAUUGAGUUGCCGGUGUCAGUGGACCUGUCCGACCUAAAAGUCCUAGAGAAAAUAACAGAUGGUUUUUCACACGAAAGAAUAGUUGGGAAGGACGGUAUGUUCAAAGGUUCUCAUAAGGCAAUUGUUUACAAGGGUGAUAUUCCGCCUAGAGAGAUGAUUGCUGUGAAGAGGUUAAUUGGAGUGGUGAUUCCAGUUGAAAAGUUUAAGAGGGAAGCAGAACAGUUCAUUAGUUUGGAUCACAAGAAUAUAGUAAAGGUUACCAGCUACUGCCACGACCAAUCUAGAGGACAUAGACUGGUACAGUUCAAAGGAAUACCGCUACCACAACUCAUUAAGGGUCCCGAACAACUGCUCUGCUGUGAAUAUAUGCGCAAGGGAAGCCUUCGCGACUAUCUUGUUGGUCGAGGAUCUCGUGAAAUUGAUUGGGAAAUGCGAUACAAAUUGAUCAAAGGGACCUGCGCAGGCUUACAUUACCUCCAUAAGGGCCGUGCAGACUGUCCAAUUGUUCAUUUGAAUUUAAGCCCGUCAAAUGUAUUGCUGGACGAGAACUACAUACCACGCAUCACUGGGUUCGAUUUUUCAAAGCUCAUUGGUGAAAAGAACACCAAAUCCGUGGUACUUAAGCUGAAUGGACCCAUAGCUUACCUGCCACCGGAUUUCCUGCACUCCAAGGGUCCUGACCUCAAAUAUCUAGCUACGGUAGACAUAUACAGCUUGGGUCUUAUCAUUCUAGAGAUCGUAACACAGCAAGAGAUCAAAGGCAACCAUGGAGUGCUUAUUAAGAGCAUAGAGGAAAACUGGAGGGAAGAGUCACAAAUAACACGGUUGUAUACCUCACUAGAAGCUGACAAGCUGUGGCAAGUAAAAAUGUGCAUUGAUAUUGGCCUACACUGCGUCCAGUCAAAGCCUGAAAAGAGACCCACACCUGGGGCCAUCAUGCUCUGGCUUGACAAAGGGAGCAAAGCAGAUGCAGGAGGAGUGUCAAGACCUCCAGUCCCAGUUCCAAGGGCAGUUGCAGGAGGAGUGCCAAGACCUCCAGUCCCCACUAAUAUCACCCAUGCAGGUGAUCACAUCCAAGGAAACGAGAAGCCCACCGGAUUCAUGAAACGAUUGUUCAGAAGAAAGUAA